This 357-nucleotide ribosomal RNA is filed under the name uncultured bacterium. Its description in RNAcentral is "bacterial SSU rRNA". It matches the Rfam family "Bacterial small subunit ribosomal RNA", at positions 22 to 356 of the family's 1533-position model. The record is from RNAcentral.
GCUCAGGACGAACGCUGGCGGCGUGCUUAACACAUGCAAGUCGAACGAAGAGCGAUGGAAGCUUGCUCCUAUCAAUCUUAGUGGCGAACGGGUGAGUAACGCGUAAUCAACCUGCCCUUCAGAGGGGGACAACAGUUGGAAACGACUGCUAAUACCGCAUACGAUCUAAUCUCGGCAUCGAGGAUAGAUGAAAGGUGGCCUCUACAUGUAAGCUAUCACUGAAGGAGGGGAUUGCGUCUGAUUAGCUAGUUGGAGGGGUAACGGCCCACCAAGGCGAUGAUCAGUAGCCGGUCUGAGAGGAUGAACGGCCACAUUGGGACUGAGACACGGCCCAGACUCCUACGGGAGGCAGCAGUA